Gastrolobium bilobum is the source of this 1534-nucleotide long non-coding RNA. RefSeq lists it as uncharacterized. The transcript has 4 exons. NCBI's taxonomy places the organism in Eukaryota, Viridiplantae, Streptophyta, Magnoliopsida, Fabales, Fabaceae. The record is from RefSeq and is a predicted model, not a curated record.
CCCAAAGUCUUGAACCAAUUCGGCCCAUGCAUGUUCAUUAGGUGUUAAAAUAAACCCUCCAUGCAAUUGCAUGUACGCCACAUGUCUUCCCCCUCUCUUGCAUGUCCACCAUCUUUCCAAGCAUAGGGCACUUGGACUAUCUUUUCUCCAUGCUUCGGUCAAACCCUUCCCUUAACCAAGGAUUUAUUUUCAUCUCUUGAAACUGACCAACUUUCUUUUAUACUUCCAUCACACAAAAACGUGUUGCUGUCCUCACCCCCCUCAAGGCCGUAGGUAACCAACAAGAAAACAAAUCAGAAUUCUAUUUCCCCUCUUUUCUUCCACUGAACCGUGAACACUACAAAGAAACAACAAAAGUUCUGAACAUUCUUCCCACUUUUCCCCCUCUAAGCCGUGAGUUGUUCAAAGAGACAUUCAUCACCUAACUUCCAAAUCCUAUUUCCUCAUACGCGGGCAAAGGUCAACACCAAGGAGGCUGUGUUUUAAGGGCUGCAUCCUAUCUUCCUUCUUGCUAGAGUUCAGCCGAACCUCAACACUUAAGAAGCUGUAAGACGGAGCUAGUGGAGAAGGGUUAAACCCCUUUACAAGCCGCCCAAAGCGUGACCCUUGGAGUAAGAAAAGAAAAACCGAAACUUGGAGCCUAGGAAAGUAUAAAAUUGCUCAUUGCCAAACCGUGAUUGGGAGUACAAACCAAAAAAAAAAAAGGUGCGCAAAACUCUUGAGAAUUGGAUUAUUUCGCUGCUGCCUGGUAAAUUUAUUGUGACGUGUGAGGUAUGUGUUAGGCGGUAUUACCUAAUGUGACUAUUAGCUAGUGUAUGAAAUUGUGAUGUGUUGCUCACAUAUGUUCAAUGUUAUUUUAUGAUGAUGAUAUGGCAAUGGUAAGAAUAUGAAAUGAUGAUAAUGAUAUGUGCAUGCAUUUUUACAUCAUGAUGCAUUUUUCUGUUUCGUGUGUGACCGCAUUUCAUGGCAUGUAUACAAUAGAUUCAUGUAGGCUUUGAAAUGUAGAAUAGUUAUAUACAGGAUCAUGUGUAUGAGCACGCAUCAUAUAGGCAUCCCUUGAUAUCAGGGUACUGGGACAGUUGGCGUCAGUCCGCAUAGGCCACAGUUGAAUUCCCCAAAUGAUGGUGUCAUGCAUGGAAUUUCCACUGCGUAUGCACGCGCAUGACGGUGCUAUAAGCGUGAAGAAGGCGUUAUAUACGCAAUAUGAUAUAUGAUGAAAAGGAACUAUGAUGAAAAGGAUUUAAUGUUUGUAGCGACUGUUUAUAAUUUUGUGCCAAGUUUAACACUGUUGCAUUAUUGGUUUUAUUGCCACACUACUGGGAUUAUUCUCACCCCUUUGAGGCUGCUAUUUUUACAAAAUGGCAAGAGGACGGAAGAGCAUAUGAAGACGUAGCUAUUUGUUGUUAUUUGCUGCUUGGACUUUUGCUGUUGCUGUUUAUUUAUUGGAUGACUGUACUAUUUUGGAUAUUUUGGUAUGCCUGGAUGAUUGUUGGAACUAUGAUUUUACUGCAUGUUGAAGACUUUUUGAGCAGCA